Humulus lupulus (European hop) is the source of this 2293-nucleotide long non-coding RNA. RefSeq lists it as uncharacterized. Lineage: Eukaryota; Viridiplantae; Streptophyta; Magnoliopsida; Rosales; Cannabaceae. The record is from RefSeq and is a predicted model, not a curated record. The transcript has 3 exons.
AAAUAAUUGAGUUAUAGUGUAUCUUGUCCUCUUCGCUUUCUCUGCCGUCCCUCUCUCUAGCUGAACAUCUCGUUUCCGACGCUUCCCCAUCUCCGUCGUUCCCUCGCCUCCGGCGCACCGCCGUAGCCGCCCAGCCGACUAGCACCAACCUUUUUCUGCCGUGAAAAGUUCGCCAGCAACGGGCUCCAACCACUCUCAACAACGACAGCAUAUUUUUUGAUUUGGAUCUGUGAAGCAAGACCAAAAUUGGGAGAAAUGGUUGGACAAAGAAUUCUAGGAAAUCAUAUUCCACUAUGGACUAUGGAUUGGUUGAAAUAUAGAUGUUAACCAUCAAAAUAUAUCAGUUGCAAGAAUAUCCAAAGUAAUAGAAGAAGAUGAUGAUGUAUUUAUCCACAUAUAAAAAUUGCUUAAGAUUUUUUUAAAACGCAAAUAUAUUUGGUUAUUUUAACUUAUUUUACUUUCCUUUCUUUGGUUUUUCAAUUCUUUGUGCGACCUACUCUAGCUCCAAGUGCGAAAGAGAAGGCACAAUUGUUCUAUGAAAUACUUCAUAGCUAUGUAGACCAAUGCAUAUGACAUUAUAGAUCAGAUUUCAUCUUUUUUAGUUGACAGUGUCAUCAUGCGUAAUAAUCAUCGUAAUGUUGCGGGAGAAGAGACCCAAAUCCAUCUAGAGUGCUCUUCGCCAAAUUGCCAACUUCCAUCUCCUCAUCUACCAUCCUCAGAGGGUCCUUCAACCCAGAUCUUUGUAGAUUCUUUUUCGCCACCUCCUUAGUGUACUCUAGCUCGACAUGUGUCAUCCUCACAACUUACCCAAACUGACCAUGUUUAUAGUGAAUUAUUGGAAUCACUAAAAUGUUCCAUGGCUGACCAUUAAAAAUUGCACAUAUUGAGAUAUGAGGAGAUGGAACGUUUGAAUAAAGAGAGGCAUGACACAAUCAUGACAGCCAACGCUGAGUGCGAGUUUCUUAAUAGAGAGAGAAAUGUGACAUUAAUGGAAAAGUUGGAUGUUUUGAUUAACAUCCUUCAACUUGUGCAUGCACAUUUUUUUGGGUGUAGAGAGACCCCACUUACACGAGAGAGUACUACAAUGGAUGACCAACAAAGAGAGAAGAAUAUAGAUGAAGACUCACAUGUAACUUUUCAAGUACUUUAGCUUUUGAUUAUCCUUUAUUUCUUAAUUACAAGUUGUUGACGCCGUUUCUCGUCAACAGUGAAAGAAGAGCACGUAAACAACAAACAGUAAUGACCAAUUAAAAAAUAACAACACAAAAACACGAUUUUUACGUGGUUCAGCAGUUUAAAUCUGCCUAGUCCACGAGUCUCUGUUAUUAAACUCAAGAUUAUCUCUGAAAAUCCUUAAGCAUGAAUUCUUCAGAGUUUUCUCUCAAGGUUCAGAAUUUCGGUCUAUUACAAUGGUGCACGACUUCUCUAUUUAUAGAGAAGGAUGCAGAAUACUAUCCCACAUAUUUUGGGUAGUUACUCUUUUUGUGUAAAUAAAUUAAAUGGCUCUAAAUGCCUGCAAUUCGAUAUAAAAGGAAACGUCUCCUGAAGAAUAGGGGGCGUAUAACUAAUUGAAUAAUAUCCCAUGAUUUUAUGGGAUUUACAAUAAUAAAUGCAGAGCACGCCUCUUAUAAACAACACUUAUAGAUAUUCAAAGUCAUUAUCAUAUAUCUCCAAGGCCUUAAUCUCCCAGAUUUCUCAUCAGCUUUCGAGCUAAUGACAUCUCCCGAGGUCACAUGGCUUCAAGAUUGUACAUACGUCAGACUCGGAGUCCCUGAUUCGAGGUCAUUCCUGAGGAUAGAGGCGUCUCGGGAGCUACCAUUCGAGAUCGUGAACGUUUCGAGGCCACCACAUUCGAGGUCGUCUCGAGUCUUGCAGGCUCGGUAUUUAAUCUUGGAGCAUACUUCGAACUUUACGGGUUCAUUCGCUGCGAAUCCAGCUUUCGAGGUCACAUUUAACAUGGCUCGAAAUCUGGGUAUAACAUCUUGCCCCCUUAAAAGUAUUUGUUCGAAUCCUAAGAGAAGGAAACUUUUGAACUACUUUCUUCGGGAACCGUAUCGUCAUACUCCUGAAAAUGGACUCGCGUCAGUUGGGCAUUGCUCACUUAUGAUACUUGAGUACCUUGGAAACAUGCCCACGAUCAUUCGUCUUCCACCUUUUCGGUACCAUCUUAUCAGUAAUCCCCAUCCGUUGGAUCUUGCAAGGAUUUCAUUCAACGCCCCAGAUUAAUCCCCUUUUUCCAUCUAUAUAUAUAAGACCCCAUUCAUCAUCUUCUUUUUUAUUUUCGUUCAUCAGG